GUACUUGCUUCGGCAGCACAUAUGCUAAAAUUGGAACAGUGCAGAGAAGAUUAGCAUGGCCCCUGCACAAGGAUGACAUGCAAAUUCAUUAAGUGUUCCAUAUUAAA
This is a small nuclear RNA of Echinops telfairi (small Madagascar hedgehog), 107 nucleotides long. The record is from Ensembl. NCBI's taxonomy places the organism in Eukaryota, Metazoa, Chordata, Mammalia, Afrosoricida, Tenrecidae.